UGCACUGCAUAGUAUCUGCACUCAGCAGUUUAUUCCUGCUGAUGUGUUCAAAGGACAGUGAGAUAGAAAUUCAAUAUCUGGCAUUGUUGGUUUUCUUGGCUUUAUGCAGUUAAGCCUGGUGUUUAUAUUGAUACAAUU
This 138-nucleotide small nucleolar RNA is filed under the name Jaculus jaculus (lesser Egyptian jerboa). RNAcentral describes it as "Small nucleolar RNA SNORA8 (ENSJJAG00000009896.1)". It matches the Rfam family "Small nucleolar RNA SNORA8". Rfam says of the family: ACA8 is a member of the H/ACA class of snoRNA that guide the sites of modification of uridines to pseudouridines. Lineage: Eukaryota; Metazoa; Chordata; Mammalia; Rodentia; Dipodidae. The record is from Rfam by way of RNAcentral.